GAUCGGCUAACUCCGUGCCAGCAGCCGCGGUAAUACUGAGGAUCCAAGCGUUAUCCGGAUUUAUUGGGUUUAAAGGGUGCGUAGGCGGCCUGGUAAGUCAGGGGUGAAAGACGGUAGCUUAACUAUCACACUGCCUUUGAUACUGAUGGGCUUGAAUGUACUGGAGGUAAGCGGAAUGUGACAAGUAGCGGUGAAAUGCAUAGAUAUGUCACAGAACACCAAUUGCGAAGGCAGCUUACUAUGGUAUUAUUGACGCUGAGGCACGAAAGCGUGGGGAUCAAACAGGAUUAGAUACCCUGGUAGUCCACGCCCUAAACGAUGAAUACUCGAUGUUAGCGAUAUACAGUUAGCGUCUAAGCGAAAGCGUUAAGUAUUCCACCUGGGGAGUACGCCCGCAAGGGUGAAACUCAAAGGAAUUGACGG
RNAcentral lists this ribosomal RNA (423 nucleotides) under uncultured Mucilaginibacter sp. Its description in RNAcentral is "bacterial SSU rRNA". It matches the Rfam family "Bacterial small subunit ribosomal RNA", at positions 491 to 916 of the family's 1533-position model. The record is from RNAcentral. Lineage: Bacteria; Pseudomonadati; Bacteroidota; Sphingobacteriia; Sphingobacteriales; Sphingobacteriaceae.